Molecule: ribosomal RNA, 253 nt
Filed under: uncultured bacterium
Lineage: Bacteria
Description: partial 16S ribosomal RNA
Rfam family: Bacterial small subunit ribosomal RNA
Source: RNAcentral
UACGUAGGGGGCAAGCGUUGUCCGGAAUCAUUGGGCGUAAAGCGCGCGUAGGCGGCCCGGUAAGUCCGCUGUAAAAGUCCAGGGCUCAACCCUGGAAAGCCGGUGGAUACUGUCGGGCUAGAGUCCGGAAGAGGCGAGUGGAAUUCCUGGUGUAGCGGUGGAAUGCGCAGAUAUCAGGAAGAACACCCGUGGCUAAGGCGGCUCUCUAGUACGGUACUGACGCUGAGACGCGAAAGCGUGGGGAGCGAACAGG